This 101-nucleotide small RNA is filed under the name Marmota monax (woodchuck). Lineage: Eukaryota; Metazoa; Chordata; Mammalia; Rodentia; Sciuridae. The record is from RNAcentral.
GCCAGGAGUGGUGGCACACACCUGUAAUCCCAGCUACUGUGGAGGCUGAGGCAGGAGGAUUGCAAGUUCCAAGUCUAGCCUGAACUAAGACCCUAUCUCAA